UACGGUGAAUACGUUCCCGGACCUUGUACACACCGCCCGUCAAGCCAUGGAAGCCGGGUGUACCUAAAGUCGGUAACCGCAAGGAGCCGCCUAAGGUAAAACUGGUGACUGGGGCU
Molecule: ribosomal RNA, 116 nt
Filed under: uncultured bacterium
Lineage: Bacteria
Description: partial 16S ribosomal RNA
Rfam family: Bacterial small subunit ribosomal RNA
Source: RNAcentral